Molecule: long non-coding RNA, 715 nt
Organism: Dipodomys spectabilis (banner-tailed kangaroo rat)
Lineage: Eukaryota; Metazoa; Chordata; Mammalia; Rodentia; Heteromyidae
Exons: 2
Source: RefSeq, a predicted model, not a curated record
UGCGGUCAGACGCAUCCAGUCAGCCCCGUUCUCCGAAGCUGUGAGCGGAGCAAUGACUGGUGUGACAUGAAGUCAGCAAGUGUAAACGCCGGAGUCAGUGUUGGCCAGUCGUCCGAUAGAACUUGUGAUACAAGUUGUGAUCCUGCAGUCCGCAGAUUGUGUAAUUACAACCAGAAGUGCUGACGUGAAGUGUUCAGUUAUGCUUAUUGACCUCUAAAAGCUGGGCUCAAACCCAAGUGGAUUACGAAGCUCCUGGAGGUCUUAGUCUGUUGGAGAGACUUGCUCCCACACCAGGAAGAACCUGAAAGGAGUUGGUCACAAUUCCCAGCUGCACUGCCAGUUUAUGUGCUGAGAUUCUGACCACAAGUGGAAUGAUCAGGCCAGGGAUUCAAAUCUCUCAAAUUUGAAAGACAUCUACAGGCUCGCAAGAAACUGAAUGAGUUGUUGGUUUCAGGGCAGCACUCAGAAUCCCUCACUAACCCUUCUCCCCAGCCAGAAUCAUGGCUGUGAAAGGAGGAAUGCAGAAAAUAGCUUCCUCAUUUCUCUUUUCUUCCCAUUCAAAAGGCAGCGUACUUGCUGGGUCAUCCAGUUCUGUACAUCACAAAGACUGAUGAGCCACUGAAAUUCUUACUGGCCCACAACAUUUCAAACACACUAGCAAUACAGAGGGCCAUAGCCAGGAAACCUGAGGAUAAUAAAUAGAAUUCCGUUCUUA